Long non-coding RNA from Canis lupus familiaris (dog), 2170 nucleotides. RefSeq lists it as uncharacterized. The record is from RefSeq and is a predicted model, not a curated record. The transcript has 3 exons. Lineage: Eukaryota; Metazoa; Chordata; Mammalia; Carnivora; Canidae.
ACAGAAGCCACUAAGACUUAAUGACACGGCCCACCCCUAUUGCUAAUGGUUUUGUCGGUGUCUGGACCCUAGAAAUUCAGGGUUUUCUCCUUCUUCCUCUGCCUGCUUUGGUCCGUGUCCGACUACCUUGCCGAACGUUAAGUUGCUUUUUAAAGUCCACUAAGCAAUCUGUGGCUUCUGAAAUGGAAACAAAAGACUUGAUGGGAGACUCAUUUAAGUCGAGAUGUGCAAGGGAACUCUGCAUCUCUUUGCUGCAGCCUGCCUCUUCCAUCCCUGGUGAGGGCAUCCUAGAGAGAAGGGGGAAAAAUCCAGAAUUCAGGAUACACCUACUAAAAAGCACUAAGUUUUGUGUCAUGCAUUGUACAAGGGCUUUUACACAUCAUUAUUUUAUAUAAUCUUUGUAAUAAUCCAACCAGAUGAGCACUAUCAUUCCCCUUUCAAAGAUAAGGACAUUGGGUAAAUUAUAUACCCAAAGCCACACAACAGAUAGUGAGAGAAUGAGAAUUCAUACCCAAAUUCCCAAACUUUUUUAAAAUUAUUUUUUUGCCAAAUUCCCAAACAUCUUGAAAUCUAGGUUGGAAAACCAGGGUUAGGAGGCAAGAAUAAGUCACAACUCUGAUUCUGCCUGUUUUAACACCAUGAAACUGAACUAGCCAUCCAAUUCUUAGCCCAGAUAUAUUGGGGGGUGGGGUAUCAUAAGAGAAGUCACACAGUUCCGUGGUGAUUUCUAGCUUAAUAUCCACUAUACACAGAACCCAGGACCUGGUCUGUACUUUUCUAGAACUGCUGACAGCCAUACUUCAACGUAUGCCCUAAUUCACCUGAAGCCUGUUUCUGAAGACUUGGUCUUUAUUUCUGCAUCUGUAAGAAGAGAGAGAAAAAAAAAUAAUGUUGUUAACAGUGUUGUAAUCAUACCACUUCUCUCUGCUCAUAUGCUUCCUGUGUUCUGGGUGCUGUUUUUUCAUCAGUCUUAUACAGGUAGCUCAGAUCCCCAUCCCCAUAAAAUGUGAGCAUUAGCAUCUAACAGGCUCAGUUGUGUCAAAAGUAUAAGGUGAACACUUCUGAAUGAACAACCUCUGAAUAAUCUACUUCAAAUCUGGACUUGCGGAACAAGGAGCUGCCAAGGGAAAUCUGCCACCUGCAGAGAUUUGCAACAUGCUGGUCUAGAGGCAGCAGGGAGAGGCUGCCUUUUUAUAGUCAUCAGAAGGCAAAACAGAUUUGCUUAGUGGCAAUGAACUAUCAGAACUAGAAGGACUAUUUUGGCUAUUUUGGAUCCCUUGAACUUCCCAAUCUCAAAAAAUGGAGUCAUUAUUAAACCAGUUGCCUAAGGUUCCUCCUUGCAAGAUCCCUGGGCAACAUCACAGGCCAUCAUCCCAAACAGACUGAGUGACUUCCUAACAAGAUGGCAUAAGUCACAAUCCAAGAUGGGGACAAAAUUUUCUUUUCACAAAGAUAGCACAGCAUUCUUGAGUGCUCCUGCUAAAAUCAGAGCACUUGGUAGUGGAGUCUCUUAGUAUCAUUAGGCAGUAAUCCAAAUACAUUUUAUACAAAUUAAGAAAUCACUUUCAAUAAAAAGCAACAUAAUUAAACUUAAAAAUAAGUAAAGAAAGGCCUUUAUGAUGCUGCCAAAUGUUUAUAAAUGUUUAUAGGUCUUUCCUAGAAUGUGUACACUAAGUUUAUUAAGUCUCCAUAGAAAAAAGUUGAAAGAAAUCAAAAUAAGAAAACUAUGUGUCUUUCUCACCCUGACAGGUUAUAUGAGACUUAAGGAAAAAUUAGGCAUGACUUAUGGUAGCAUGAGUUCAACACUUACUGCCUAAAGAGUUUAAACAUUGACAGGAGCCCCCCAAUUUCAUAUGAAUGAGGUUACUGAUACAUAUAAUGGACCCCACUUUUAAGGAAAGCAAAAAAGAAAACAUAAGCUAAAACUAAUUCCUUAAAAAGUAGUGGCUUAAAUCACAAAAUAGGGACGUCUGGGUGGCUCAGUGGUUGAGCAUCUUCUUUGGCUCAGGGCAUGAUCCUGGAGUUCAAGGAUCGAGUCCCACAUCGGGCUCCCUGCAUGGAACCUCUUCUGCCUAUGUCUCUGUCUCUCUCCCUCUGUGUCUCUUAUGAAUAAAUAAAUAAAAUCUUUUUAAAAAAAUCACAAAAUAAUUCUUCAUUUUACAUAAUGAUU